Non-coding RNA from Passer montanus (Eurasian tree sparrow), 321 nucleotides. Lineage: Eukaryota; Metazoa; Chordata; Aves; Passeriformes; Passeridae. The record is from the annotation of a RefSeq genome assembly.
GCAGGGCUCCGGGCGGCCGUGACCCUGCUGGAGUCCGGGGGGGACCUCCAGCCCCCCGGGGGGUCCCUGCGCCUCCUCUGCCGAGGCUCCGGGUUCAGUUUCGGCAGUUUUGGGAUGGGCUGGUAUCGCCAGAGACCCGGGCAGGGGCUGGAAUACGUCGCAAGUAUCAACAGCAAUGGUGCUUACACCGGCUACGCGCCCUCGGUCAAGGGCCGGUUCACGAUCUCCAGGGACAACGGGCAGAGCUCGGUGACGCUGACCAUGAACAACCUCAAGGACGAGGAUUCCGGAUCCUAUUUCUGCGCCAAACCCCAGCCCUGA